UACGUAGGGUGCAAGCGUUAAUCGGAAUUACUGGGCGUAAAGCGUGCGUAGACGGUUUUGUAAGUCGGAUGUGAAAUCCCCGGGCUCAACCUGGGAAUUGCAUUCGAGACUGCAAGGCUUGGGUGCGGAAGAGGGAAGCGGAAUUUCCGGUGUAGCGGUGAAAUGCGUAGAUAUCGGAAGGAACAUCAGUGGCGAAAGCGGCUUCCUGGUCCAGCACCGACGUUCAGGCACGAAAGCGUGGGGAGCAAACAGG
RNAcentral lists this ribosomal RNA (253 nucleotides) under uncultured bacterium. RNAcentral describes it as "partial 16S ribosomal RNA". It matches the Rfam family "Bacterial small subunit ribosomal RNA", at positions 524 to 776 of the family's 1533-position model. The record is from RNAcentral.